Molecule: long non-coding RNA, 331 nt
Filed under: Nicotiana benthamiana
Lineage: Eukaryota; Viridiplantae; Streptophyta; Magnoliopsida; Solanales; Solanaceae
Description: long non-coding RNA (NBEN_LNC028837)
Source: RNAcentral
AUAUAAAAUUACACCCUAGUGAUAAGGCUAGAUUUUUGCAAUUGAAAGCGCAACAAGGGGGGAGGACAAGUGUUGAUUCUACAGUUAAUCCAAGUACUGGUUCAAAUCUAGUUCAACCAGGAAUAAACAUAGUCACCAGAGGUAUUUUAUAUUACGAUCCAAAUAAGGAUCGUGAAGAAUUAGCGAAAAUGAUUACUGUUAUGUGUUUGCCUUAUUCUUUUGCUUCUAAUCCUGCAGGAUUCAUUAUAUUAGAAGAGUAUUUAAUCCUACGUAUAAAGGUUGGCCUCGCGCAACAGUUAAGGCCGAUAUUUAUAAAUAGAAGCAUGAAUAU